This 1018-nucleotide ribosomal RNA is filed under the name Phanerochaete galactites. RNAcentral describes it as "eukaryotic LSU rRNA". The stretch from base 666 to 1018 matches the Rfam family "Eukaryotic large subunit ribosomal RNA", at positions 1 to 350 of the family's 3401-position model. The record is from RNAcentral. Lineage: Eukaryota; Fungi; Basidiomycota; Agaricomycetes; Polyporales; Phanerochaetaceae.
AACUGCGGAAGACAUUUCACGAGUAAAUUGAACGGGUUGUAAGCUGACCUUUCCUCCUUUCUCAAGAAGGGGAAGGUAUGUGCACGCCUGGCUCAUCCACUCUUUCAACCUCUGUGCACUUAUUGUAGGUUCGGUGAAAGGGCACAAGUUCUGAUUUCGAUUAGGCUUUUGCUUGGAAACCUUUCCUAUGUCUUUUUACAAACGUUUCAGUCAUAAGAAUGUUAUAUGUCUGCGUGUGUAACGCAUAUGUUAUUAUAUAUAUAACUUUCAGCAACGGAUCUCUUGGCUCUCGCAUCGAUGAAGAACGCAGCGAAAUGCGAUAAGUAAUGUGAAUUGCAGAAUUCAGUGAAUCAUCGAAUCUUUGAACGCACCUUGCGCUCCCUGGUAUUCCGGGGAGCAUACCUGUUUGAGUGUCAUGGUUAUUCUCAACCUUCAAUAACUUUGUUGUUUAUCGAAGGCUUGGAUUUGGAGGCUUUUGUGCUGGCUUCUCCGUUAAGUCGGCUCCUCUUAAAUGCAUUAGCGUGAGUUGUAUAUAACGGAUCGCUUCGGUGUGAUAAUUAUCUGCGCCGUGGUUGUGAAGUUUUAUAAACAUAAGCUUUUGCGCUUCUAGCCGUCCUUCAGCUGGACAAACCUUUGUGUAUACUUUUGUGUACAUUUAUGACAUCUGACCUCAAAUCAGGUAGGACUACCCGCUGAACUUAAGCAUAUCAAUAAGCGGAGGAAAAGAAACUAACAAGGAUUCCCCUAGUAACUGCGAGUGAAGCGGGAAAAGCUCAAAUUUAAAAUCUGGCAGUCUUUGGCUGUCCGAGUUGUAAUCUGGAGAAGCGUCUUCCGUGCUGGACCGUGUACAAGUCUCCUGGAACGGAGCGUCAUAGAGGGUGAGAAUCCCGUCUUUGACACGGACUACUAGUGCUUUGUGAUGCGCUCUCAAAGAGUCGAGUUGUUUGGGAAUGCAGCUCUAAAUGGGUGGUAAACUCCAUCUAAAGCUAAUAUUGCGAGAGACGAUAGCGACAGACUG